GUGCCAGACUCCUACGGGAGGCAGCAGUGGGGAAUAUUGCACAAUGGGGGAAACCCUGAUGCAGCGACGCCGCGUGAGUGAAGAAGUAUUUCGGUAUGUAAAGCUCUAUCAGCAGGGAAGAAGCAAGACGGUACCUGACUAAGAAGCCCCGGCUAACUACGUGCCAGCAGCCGCGGUAAUACGUAGGGGGCAAGCGUUAUCCGGAUUUACUGGGUGUAAAGGGAGCGCAGACGGCAGUGCAAGUCUGGAGUGAAAGCCCGGGGCCCAACCCCCGGACUGCUCUGGAAACUGUACGGCUGGAGUGCAGGAGAGGUAAGUGGAAUUCCUAGUGUAGCGGUGAAAUGCGUAGAUAUUAGGAGGAACACCAGUGGCGAAGGCGGCUUACUGGACUGUAACUGACGUUGAGGCUCGAAAGCGUGGGGAGCAAACAGGAUUAGAUACCCCAGUAU
This 449-nucleotide ribosomal RNA is filed under the name uncultured bacterium. RNAcentral describes it as "bacterial SSU rRNA". It matches the Rfam family "Bacterial small subunit ribosomal RNA", at positions 328 to 793 of the family's 1533-position model. The record is from RNAcentral.